ACUGCGAGUGAAGCGGGAAGAGCUCAAAUUUAAAAUCUAAUAGUCUAUGACUGUUCGAGUUGUAAUCUAGAGAAGCACUAUCCGUGCUGGACCAUGUAUAAGUCUCCUGGAAUGGGGCGUCAUAGAGGGUGAGAAUCCCGUCUUUGACAUGGACUACCAGUGCAUUGUGAUGUGCUCUCAACGAGUCGAGUUGUUUGGGAAUGCAGCUCUAAAUGGGUGGUAAAUUCCAUCUAAAGCUAAAUAUUGGCGAGAGACCGAUAGCGAACAAGUACCGUGAGGGAAAGAUGAAAAGAACUUUGAAAAGAGAGUUAAACAGUACGUGAAAUUGUUGAAAGGGAAACGCUUAAAGUCAGUCACAUUGAUCAGGGAUCAACCUUGCUUUUGCUUGGUGUAUUUUCUGAUCAAUGGGUCAGCAUCAAUUUUAAUCAGUGGACAAAGGCUGAGGGAAUGUGGCAUCAUUUGAUGUGUUAUAGCCCUCUGUCAUAUACAUUGGUUGGGAUUGAGGAACUCAGCAUGCCGCAAGGCCGGGUUUUAACCACGUUCAUGCUUAGGAUGCUGGCAUAAUGGCUUUAAUCGACCCGUCUUGAAACACGG
This 594-nucleotide ribosomal RNA is filed under the name Inocephalus plicatus. RNAcentral describes it as "LSU rRNA". It matches the Rfam family "Eukaryotic large subunit ribosomal RNA", at positions 86 to 664 of the family's 3401-position model. Lineage: Eukaryota; Fungi; Basidiomycota; Agaricomycetes; Agaricales; Entolomataceae. The record is from RNAcentral.